CGUGUCACAGUCUGUGGUGGAAAUGUUAUGUUUGGAUUGAGGAAAAAUGACCAUGGGAUAAAUUACAAGCUUUGGACAAAGAAUACAUUUUCUCAGUGGAUGAGAAAUCUGGGACAGAAACCACCUGUAAAGCAUUCCCAUCAUGCUCUCUGCUCCAGACUCUACACUCCCCCGCUGAGGAGGGAGGUUUCCAACAAACAGGCCAAAAGUUCCUCGGGCCCCGUAUGCAAUCACAUACUGCAGCAUGAUGGAAGGCCCUCAGGAGCCCGGUACUAAUCGCAUUAUCAGGUUUGCACAGAAAAGUCAUUACAAGGCAGCUAGUUUGAGGGAAAUGUUAGCACUUGUUUUAGUGGUUGAAUAGAAGUUAGAAGUUUAUGACUGGGGGGAGCUUAGGUAAAGUGGUACUCUACAUGGCCAAAAGUACAGUAUGUGGAUACCAUUUAAUGGGUUUAUUUGGGCCCCUUAAUUUAUGUUGCCAAUUUUGUGGCUCAGGGUGGGCCCUUUUCUGUUCCAGCAUGACUAUGCUCUUGUGCACAAAGUGAGGUCCAUAAAGACAUGAUUUACUGAGUCUGGUGUGGAAGAACUUGACUGGCCUGCACAAAGCCCAACCUGAACUCCAUUGAACACCUUUGGGAUGAUUCACAAUGCAGACUGUGAGUCAGACUGACCCAACUGCACAUAAACUCACUUAUGUCCUUGUGUCUGGAUUGGAGCAAAUCUCUGCAGUCAUGUUCCAACAUCUAGUGGAAAGCCUUCCAAGAAGAGUGGAAGCUGUUAUAGCAGUAAAUGGAAGACACACUCUCUAUUAAUGCCAAUUGUUUUAAAAUGUUAAUGCUCAACAAGCACAUAUGACUGAUGUUAGUACUUAUCAUACAGUACUUUUGACCAUAUAGUGUUUUGAGAAAAUUGAAAUUGCAAACAAGCAAAGAAAAUGAACCAAUACAUAUUUAAUAUGGAUGAAUUGUAAAAAGGAAUUUAUUAUAAUGCUUUCAAAUGGAACACAUUAUCUCUAAAAGCAGCUGACCUUACAUGAACAUACAAUGACAAAAUGUACAUUAAAGAGGAUGAUUUACUUUAAUCAGUUUGUAGCAAUGAUCAUACGUUAAAUUCUAAAGGGUCAAAAUUAAAAACAUAAAGGAAGGAGGCGUUCAUUUGUGCAAGAGCAAGCUGUGUAGCAAUGCAUUAUCAGGAAUUGAAAGAUAUUGCUCAAUAAUAAUAUGAAAGAUGGGCUGACAUUAUUUAAUAUUAAUUCAGCCCACUUCCUUCCACCCAUUUACUCAUGAAAUA
Myxocyprinus asiaticus (Chinese sucker) is the source of this 1287-nucleotide long non-coding RNA. RefSeq lists it as uncharacterized. The transcript has 2 exons. The record is from RefSeq and is a predicted model, not a curated record. NCBI's taxonomy places the organism in Eukaryota, Metazoa, Chordata, Actinopteri, Cypriniformes, Catostomidae.